UACGUUGACCGUAUAAAAGCCAACUCCACCCACUACAAUCUCUCAUUUGGCUAAGGCUUAGGUAAGUCUGAGGAAGUGGUGUGUAGUGAGUGCUUGAUGAAUGCUUACAGGUCUACACAUGACUUUGGCCUGAUGUUUUGAGUUCACUGCUGUGUCUGAUGACCAAUGACUCGGAUAAUCCACAUAAAGGUGAGCAAUCUGCAUCAGUGGUCUCACUGGUGCUGAUUGGGGGAUCGUGCUAACCUUGAGGGGUUCUAAAAGAGCACUUGCAACACUAAUGGCAGCUGCCCUUCAACCAGGGGUGCAGGCUCAAUGUCCAAAUGUGGAAGAUGGUGGUAGAUGCCUCACUGGAUCCA
Sardina pilchardus (European sardine) is the source of this 356-nucleotide long non-coding RNA. RefSeq lists it as uncharacterized. The transcript is spliced from 6 exons. The record is from RefSeq and is a predicted model, not a curated record. Lineage: Eukaryota; Metazoa; Chordata; Actinopteri; Clupeiformes; Clupeidae.